Molecule: unclassified non-coding RNA, 337 nt
Filed under: soil metagenome
Description: partial contains 5.8S ribosomal RNA, internal transcribed spacer 2, and large subunit ribosomal RNA
Rfam family: 5.8S ribosomal RNA (bases 1-121)
Source: RNAcentral
GAUGAAGAACGCAGCGAAAUGCGAUAAGUAAUGCGAAUUGCAGAAUUUCCGUGAGUCAUCGAAUCUUUGAACGCACAUUGCGCCCCCUGGUAUUCCGGGGGGCAUGCCUGUCCGAGCGUCAUUGCAACCUUCAAGCGCGGCUUGUGUGUUGGGUCUCGUCCCCCGUGGACGGGCCCGAAAGGCAGUGGCGGCGUCCCGACAUGGUGCCCGAGCGUAUGGGAAUCCUCUUCCGCUCGAAUCGGCCCAUGCGGCGCUGGUCGUAACCAAAUUUUUUACCGGUUGACCUCGGAUCAGGUAGGGAUACCCGCUGAACUUAAGCAUAUCAAUAAGCGGAGGA